RNAcentral lists this ribosomal RNA (273 nucleotides) under uncultured bacterium. Its description in RNAcentral is "partial 16S ribosomal RNA". It matches the Rfam family "Bacterial small subunit ribosomal RNA", at positions 524 to 796 of the family's 1533-position model. The record is from RNAcentral.
UACGUAGGGGCCGAGCGUUGUCCGGAGUUACUGGGCGUAAAGCGCGCGCAGGCGGCCACUUAAGCCCGGCGUGAAAGCCCCCGGCUCAACCGGGGAGGGUCGUCGGGGACUGGGUGGCUUGAGGACGGCAGGGGCCGGUGGAAUCCCCGGUGUAGUGGUGAAAUGCGUAGAGAUCGGGGGGAACACCCGUGGCGAAGGCGGCCGGCUGGGCCGGACCUGACGCUGAGGCGCGAAGGCGUGGGGAGCGAACGGGAUUAGAAACCCGCGUAGUCC